Molecule: RNA transcript, 3650 nt
Organism: Dinoponera quadriceps
Lineage: Eukaryota; Metazoa; Arthropoda; Insecta; Hymenoptera; Formicidae
Exons: 3
Source: RefSeq, a predicted model, not a curated record
UUCGAUUGUCGAGAGCUGGCAACCCGUACGAUGAUAUUUGUACGGUAAAUGGACGUGGUGGCGAGGGGAAUCAGCGAUAUGUGUCGGCACCAAAGAACGGAUCUCGCCCUUACGCGCGACAAGAAAGACGGGACGGGGAGUACGUUUUCGGCAACCACCUCUUGGAUAUAAAGCAGCUCCAUCAGGGAGUUUCGCGAUCUCCCCGCUUCUAAUCUUACAGCGUAUGCAUUAUGCAUCGGGUGACCCAAUGCGCGCUGCCCGUUUGACCGUAUCGAGGCGAUGAAAAGUGUUUUUCUUACGUAACGUUAGCAAAAAGGGGGAGUCAUUACAUUACAAGCACAGUUUAUAUCAAAGAGGGUUGUUCCAGCAACGCAGACAACGACGGAGCCCUUUUCUCUUUUAUCCAGCGAAUUUUCGUAAAUAUAUUGGAUACAAGGGGGUACAACACACCGAGAGUGUGAAGCAUAGAGAAAGUGCAGAAUACUCCCGGUGGUCUCGCGGACCAGCGACGAUUAGGCAGCGGAUGUGUGGGAAGUGCCGCCUGUUGCAUUCGUUCGUGCGGAAUUGCAAAAACUAAAUUCAGCGGAACCGCGCCUGCGGCGUGGUUUGUAGGUAUUAUGCAACUGACGUAAUUCUCCGCUAUACGAGGAGGGUCUGUGUCCUCGAUUAUCGAUUCGUUAGGUUCAUACGAGACCCAUCCUCGCUCCGAUUUGUCCUUCAUCACUGCCAUAUUGCAGUUAUAAAACAUGUUACACCAUUAUACCUAUGAAAAACGUAAUCAUUAUUGUACGUACAUAUCGCAUUUUUCAUGAAUAUAUUCGGUCCUUUUUUUUUUGUUGAAUGAUUGUUAUUACGAUAAAAUUUAAUAUUCUUGCAAAAAAUUUGUCACAUGGUUUAGACUUUUUUUUACUUAAAUUCCUAACAUUGAUAAUAUAUACUUGCUUUCAGUAUUUGAUAAUUGAAAAUUGUUAUAUCGAGGUUUGCCUUCAUGAAUCCCAGUAAUUAACUAUCCCUUUAAUGCAUCGUACGCGACUGAACACUUGAAAUUAAUGGAACACUUGUAAUUUGAUAAAUGUUUGGAACGAAAGAAGAACAGGUUUUAAGUAAAACAGGCAUACACACGUUCCUCGACGAAUUAAUCGAAAUUUGCAAUUUGCCUGUUAAUUUGAUUAGCAUAUGUUUACGAGCACUCAAAUAUUACCGGCGAUGGAUGUUGUUAUUUUGGUUUUACGCUGACACAAUUCAGUUGACGCAAUCACGACAAAUUGCGAUUCGCGGAAUUAGUAUUUAUGCAUAAACCAUCAGCUGAACAUUUUUCCCCCUUAUUUUCGAGACAAAGAGGACCAAAGUGGAAGAAGAACGCGAGAGGCGCGUUCCAUUAAGCGAUCGUUUAGAUCUCCGCUUUAGAUCUGACGUUCUUAUUCCGACACUGAGAUCUGGCAAUUUAAUCUGGAGUUAAGAAUCGCGCAGGUGGAUCGAUUAGGGUGAGAGCUUACGGGGCAAACGAAAGUCAGACUCAUGCGACAAUAUUUAUGCGAGAAGGCCGGCUGAGAAAUUGCGUUAAAUAAUUCCAAGCGCGGGCCCGACGUGUCUCGCGCUUGUUAAAGUCCCGAAUUGUAAAUACCGCGGACGAGCUGUUACGCGUCCUUUUAGCGGUAACCCGACUUACGUCAUUUACCGCAGCGGACGAUAAGCAUCCCGCGUGUUGCGCGACUCGGCCGCUCGCAUGUCUCGUUACCUGCGUUUCACCCCUAUGUCCUACAUGCAAACGCUUUUAUACGUCAUUUAUGGUGCUUACAGCUCGCUAAACGACACGUGCGCGCGUAUAUAGCGGCUCCGUGUGCCGGCUCGCGCGUAGAGCAAAUAAAUAACCGCGAUUUUUUAAUUGCCCUCCUUUGCGCGAUCGUAUCGCAAUUUUGCGGCACGCAUUAAGGAUCGACGCAAUAAUUCGACGCGAGCCGACUCGCAAAAAUCACCGUCGUGACACUCUCCAUUUCCGCGUUCCAUUUCUCGAUAAUCGUCGGUACCCAGAAAAAAAAGCUAGCCUUAAAUCAAGAAUAGAUAUUUUUAUACGUAAGUAAGAAUAUUGUAAUCUUCUUAGAAGAUUUUUAAUCUGGAUUUGAUUGAAUUUUUAUUCAUGCAAGUAUUAUUUUCACUCAAUUCAAACUAAAAAUCUUCGGAAUAUGUUAUAAUUUGUUUGCAUGUAUAUAAGAAUACACCUAUCGUUGAUAUUUAAGAUUUUUUUUCCUAUAUAUGAGCAUACGUGCGUGGUGUUAUUACACGACGGUGCGAUGUUUAUCUUAAUUUAACAAAUUUUUUUCGAAACUCUCACGUAAUUUCUUUAACACGCAUUUACACGUUCUUCCUGUCAACGUGAAGUUCACGGUUCUUGAGAAAACUUGACGUUAACUUGAACUCUGAUAAUCUUAAUCUUCCUUACCGCAAAAUUAUCGCUAAAAAAUGUUAUUAACCCUUUAAUGGUAAGGUUGGAAUCGAAUCAAACCCCAUGCUCUGUUUUGUUCAUUUUUCUCCUAGUUAAUGUAUAAAAUUGGUAAAAGAAGUAAAUAACAACACGAAACUUCGCCCUCCGCUUAUUGAUAAAUGAAAUCGACACAAUAAAAUUUACUGACUUUAAAAAAUUGCAAUAAAACGCUUUGAAAAACACUUUGACGUUUCGAAACACCCAUCUUGUCAUUAAAGAGUCAACGGAGCGAUUUACAUACGAUCGAGGCAUUUACACGUUAAUAAUAUUUCACGAUAAAAAUAUUCGUGCAAAUACGUGUCGGUUUAAAAAUGUCGCCUGACACGUGAGAAAAAUCGACUUGUUCAGGUUGUAUUCUCGUUUAGAAUCUUCUUGAUAUUAUGCAAGCAUUUGCAAAUUACCGGAUGGAGAGUACUAUAAAUAUCGUUGACCCAUCUGAAUCUCGUGAUUUUUACGUGUGCGCUCGUAUACACGACGUCAGGGAGGACGUGGGGGAGGUAGGGGUGAAACCGCGAAGACAGGCCGCAUCGCAUUUUACGUCCACGCCGAGUGACAAAUAAAUAUGGUAAUAAGCAUUCGGCGAACUUCAAAUGCCGCGCAUCUUGGCUUUUGCGCCGCAUCGAAAGAAGAAAGUUAAACUAACUUUCCCCGCGCUCUAUCUGCUACGGACGCGAGCGAGAGCGCCGAGGGCGUCAGGGGGGAAGGCGGCGGAAGCGUACGAACGGGCCAGAAGAUACCAAGGGUACGUAAGUACCCUUAAAUAAUAUAAAAUUCAGAGGAAGUUGAUAAGCCGGGGCGCGUUCGAACUUUUCACUCGGCGCCUCCCAUUUCUUAUUAUAAUGAAUGCAUAUCGGCUUAGCCGCAGCUAAGAAGGACGACCGUGAGAACCCUUUUUCGGGGCUCGCGAGGUUAAGAAAGGCGAAGGGGUUGGCGUAUCUUUUUCUCAUAGAACAAGACCCGACGCGAUGUUCUUUAAUUCGACAGAAUUAAGUGCUUUUGGACCUUUCGAAACAGUACAGAAAGAUUAUAUUUUCGAUUAAAAUAGAUUGGUACACUUGAGAAUAUAAUAAUACAACAAUAUAUAGCACAGUGCAGUAAGAUAAAAUAUUAUACCUGAUGAUUAUUACAUGCGAAAAUAUAUUUUUUUUUAAAGAUGUGAUUCCCCCAA